AAGUCGUAACAAGGUUUCCGUAGGUGAACCUGCGGAAGGAUCAUUAACAAUUCUCCUUCAUUAAUCCCUGUGAACCGUUUCCGGUUGCGCGCCUGGUGGCGCCGUGGUCUCGCGGCCCGGCGUUGCUCGGGUUGUGCAACAAACAUUAACGUCUAUUCGUGUCAGCAUGGCUUAUAACAGCGUUCGUGGUGUGCUGUGCUGCUGCGCUUCGGCGCCGGGAGCACGUGCCUGCGGAUGUGUUACUAAUCUUAACAACUUUUAACAAUGGAUCUCUUGGCUCUU
This 282-nucleotide unclassified non-coding RNA is filed under the name fungal sp. RNAcentral's name for it is "partial internal transcribed spacer region". The stretch from base 1 to 46 matches the Rfam family "Eukaryotic small subunit ribosomal RNA", at positions 1786 to 1831 of the family's 1831-position model. Lineage: Eukaryota; Fungi. The record is from RNAcentral.